Molecule: ribosomal RNA, 250 nt
Filed under: uncultured prokaryote
Description: partial 16S ribosomal RNA
Rfam family: Bacterial small subunit ribosomal RNA
Source: RNAcentral
UACGUAGGUGGCAAGCGUUGUCCGGAUUUACUGGGUGUAAAGGGCGCGUAGGCGGGAUUGCAAGUCAGAUGUGAAAUCUCCGGGCUCAACCCGGAAAUUGCAUUUGAAACUGUAGUUCUUGAGUAUCGGAGAGGCGAGCGGAAUUCCCAGUGUAGCGGUGAAAUACGUAGAUAUUGGGAGGAACACCAGUGGCGAAGGCGGCUUGCUGGACGACAACUGACGCUGAGGCGCGAAAGCGUGGGGAGCAAAC